This 375-nucleotide ribosomal RNA is filed under the name uncultured organism. RNAcentral describes it as "partial 16S ribosomal RNA". It matches the Rfam family "Bacterial small subunit ribosomal RNA", at positions 527 to 896 of the family's 1533-position model. The record is from RNAcentral.
GUAGGUGGCAAGCGUUGUCCGGAAUUAUUGGGCGUAAAGCGCGCGCAGGCGGUUCUUUAAGUCUGAUGUGAAAGCCCACGGCUCAACCGUGGAGGGUCAUUGGAAACUGGAGAACUUGAGUACAGAAGAGGAAAGCGGAAUUCCACGUGUAGCGGUGAAAUGCGUAGAGAUGUGGAGGAACACCAGUGGCGAAGGCGGCUUUCUGGUCUGUAACUGACGCUGAGGCGCGAAAGCGUGGGGAGCAAACAGGAUUAGAUACCCUGGUAGUCCACGCCGUAAACGAUGACGUGCUAAGUGUUAGGGGGGUUUUCCGCCCCCCUUAGUGCUGCAGCUAACGCAUUAAGCACUCCGCCUGGGAGUACGGCCGCAAGGCUG